CCUACGGGAGGCAGCAGUGAGGAAUAUUGGUCAAUGGUCGCGAGCCUGAACCAGCCAAGUCGCGUGAGGGAAGACGGUCCUAUGGAUUGUAAACCUCUUUUGUCGGGGAGCAAAAGACGCCACGCGUGGCGUUCCGAGAGUACCCGAAGAAAAAGCAUCGGCUAACUCCGUGCCAGCAGCCGCGGUAAUACGGAGGAUGCGAGCGUUAUCCGGAUUUAUUGGGUUUAAAGGGUGCGCAGGCGGAAUGUCAAGUCAGCGGUAAAAUUGAGAGGCUCAACCUCUGCGCGCCGUUGAAACUGGUUGUCUUGAGUGAGCGAGAAGUAUGCGGAAUGCGUGGUGUAGCGGUGAAAUGCAUAGAUAUCACGCAGAACUCCGAUUGCGAAGGCAGCAUACCGGCGCUCAACUGACGCUCAUGCACGAAAGUGUGGGUAUCGAACAGGAUUAGAUACCCUUGUAGUC
RNAcentral lists this ribosomal RNA (459 nucleotides) under uncultured bacterium. Its description in RNAcentral is "partial 16S ribosomal RNA". It matches the Rfam family "Bacterial small subunit ribosomal RNA", at positions 338 to 795 of the family's 1533-position model. The record is from RNAcentral.